Molecule: long non-coding RNA, 8981 nt
Organism: Neofelis nebulosa (Clouded leopard)
Lineage: Eukaryota; Metazoa; Chordata; Mammalia; Carnivora; Felidae
Exons: 4
Source: RefSeq, a predicted model, not a curated record
CAAAAUUCAUUUCCCCACUUCCAGUUAGCGUUCUCAGAGCUCAAAUUGCCCUGAGAAUAACUCAGGAAGCCAAGGAUGACAAUUUCCCGGAUCCCCAGCAGGGCUGGGCUUGAAAAGUGCCCCAGUUUAAGGGAUAUUAGGAAGCAGGGGGGCGGGUAGCGCUCCCUGGCCGCUCCUUGCUGGGCCACAGGCACCAUUUUGAGUAAUAAUCAUGCAUGACACUUGAAAUCUUCAUUCUCCACAAUGCUUCACAACUUUCUAAUUUCUAAAACUUUGGUUUUUUACUCCUUGGUUAAUCACGCGGAUUAUUUAGUACUUUAUCCCUCAAGAAAAUUAACUGUAGGUUCUUUUCAUUCUACUCCCAUCCACUCUCCAUUUCUAAUUUUAUUUCUCCUUUAGUCUUGGAUCAUGUGUUUUGUUCCUCCUAUCUCUGGGGGACACUAGGGCAAUUUCUCAAAAUCUUGAAUGCUCAUUAAAAUGUUAACUCUUAACCAUUUUAAGUUUCAGAGCCUGUCUAGGUGUGGAUAUGGAGAACUCUGCCCAUCCUUGUGGUGCUGGGAUCUCAGUGGAUCUGCAGCCUGGCUCUCCCUGCAGUAGCAGCCAUUCAGGACAACAUAUAUUCCGGAGGGUUAUUGUAAAGCUCUUCCUGGGUGCUAUGUGGUCAAUGAGAUGGGCCACAACCUGCAAGCUGGUGGGUAAGUGUCAUUCUAGUCACUACAGUCCUCUAGACCAUCCCCCAAGGCCGCUAAGGGUAAGCCAUCUCCAUCAGUGCUUAGAGUUCCACAGUGAACGCUGACUAACCAGGUACACUAGGGCUACCAGUCCACAAAUAGAAUAAUAACUAAUAACAAUGACCUUUCAAGAUCUUGUUGGGGGCAGGGUCAGGAGGAACGCUCACCUCAGCUCCUCUCAUCCCUGUGUACACUCCCUUGUUCCUUUUUCUCCUUGUCCAGAAUGCCCCCAGCUUUACACCUUUUCUCCUCCUCUCCCCAUCACUCUUCAGCUCUGUUGGGCCCUCCAUGGCGUUGCCUUUGAAGUUUGUUUACCCCCAUGGACUGCUGAGGAUGUCAGCUGGUUCUUGUGCAUCAGAAACCCUAAAGCCAGGCCCAGCGGAAGAUCUCCCAAAGGUGCUGAUGGUCAUCUUAACAUCAAAGUCUUCGAAUAGCAGUGCAGCACUGCCCAAUGGAGCUUUCUUUAAGGAAAUGUUGUAAAUCUACAAUGUCCAACAUAGUAGCCAUUAGCCGCAGCUGACCAAUGACCAUCUGAAAGAUGGCCGUGACUAAGGAACUAAACUGGUUAAGUUCAUUUUAGUCUGUUUAAGCUUAAUCAGUCACGUGUUAGUGGCUGCUCUGAAAUGAAUGUAGGCCCAUUCAUAAGACAGGGGCCUUACCACCAUGUUCAAUACUGUGACCCAUCCCUGUAACAGUUCGUGGCAUUUUUGCAGGCGCUCAAGAAAUACUGUCUCAAUAUAGCCGUAAAAAGUGCCUUUUGAGUUUUUUAGCUCUCUGGAUUUUCCUAUAUUUCUGUCAUUUACAGGAAAUUUCACUGGCAUUUUAAUUGUGUCCCACCUUUAAACUAUCAUGGGAGGAUUGCUAUUGUUACAAAGUUCCCUUCCACUUGGGACCCUGAGCAGUAGCUGGGAGUGCAGGCCACCGGGUAAGAGGACACCUGGUUUAUAUUCCUGCUUCUUUCCCAACCAGCUAGGUCAGAGACUUGCAUUUCUGCUUCCACUGGUAUAAUGGCUCCAACACUUCUCUAGAGGCUGGAAUGAUGGAAGGACUUAAGUCAAGAAAGGGAAUGCAUAAACUUAAAAUUUUUCUAAGCCCUCGAAGUUAUUGCUUCUGCUUAUUUUAUAUCCCACUAACUUAAAUUUUUUUUCAAAUAGAAAUGCCUUAGUAAUUGAUUCCUUAACAAUUCCUAAUCAUUUCGGGGUGCCUGGGUGGCUCAGUCAGGUAAACAUCUGACUCUUGAUUUCAGCUCACGGUUCAUGGGUUCAAGGGUGGAGCCUGCUUGGGAUUCUUCCUCUGCCUCUCUCUGCCACUCCCCUCCUCAAAAUAAACCCAAAACAAAACAAAAAAACAAUUCCUAAUCAUUUAAUUCAUUCUUAGAUCCCAUUUCAAAAACCUAUUAAUAUCUUUGUGUUAAAUUGGGUAUUCCUUGUGUAAGCCAAGGCUAUUCAUCUCUAUUGUUAUUUGUCACAUUGAUGAACUCUUAUUUUUAACUAUUUCAAAGGAUUAGUUUAAGGUGGUUAAUUGUCAUGAGCUAUCAAUAUUUCCUUUUUAAUGUUUUUCUCAUUUUGUGCUUUAGUGACAAAAAUGCUAUUAUACCUUGCAGAAUCUGUCAACAUUCCAGCCUUGUCCUGUCAUUGAACUGCUCGUGUUCCAUCCAAAUGGCCUUUUAACAGGAAGUUGGAAGAUAUUCACUGCCCAGGUCAGUAAUAAUAAUAAGUAGCUGGCCACUUUGUUCUGAAAAAUUUUUAUAAAUUAUUUUAACAUUUUUCCUAGGACCAAUUUUGACAACCUUCCACUUUUCCAGAAAUCUUUCCAUUUUGUUGUUUGUUAAUUUCUGGGCAUCUAGGCUGUGUCAGGAACUGGUAACACAGCAGAAAGGAGGUAGCAGUUUCCUUCUCAGGAGGCUGUCACAGCCUGUCAGUAUCUACAUUCAGUGAUUACCACCUGACACACAUAUUUGAACUUGUAUGUAUAUUUUCUAAAAAAUGGUAUUAUGUGCACCUGCUUAUCUUUAUACGUGUUAAAGAUACAUAUUUAAGAAAUACAUGUAUCUUGGACUUUCAUAUCAGUACAUGGAGCUGGCUCAUGCAUUGUUACUGUUGUACAAAGUUCUAUAAUGAAAAUUACAUGUGUUGCUGAAUAUGUGUGUAGUGUUAUUUCCCUAUAUAGGUUUUUAGCUUGCCUUUGAUUUAUUCUGUUUAAUCAAAGUUGGUUUUGAAUUUUUGUCUUUCCAGAAAAUUAGUUCUUGGGUUCUUUUUUUCUUCUCCAUUUGAUUCAUUUAUUUGUGUUGUAUUUAUCUUUUCUGUUUCCUUAGGACUUUGAGUCAAAUGUGUAGUUCAUUUGUUUUCCUUAUUUAAUUAAUAGUGAGGGCAUUUGCAGGUCUUGAAAUUACCCUAGGUAUUAUAUUUGGACACCAGGCAGAACGGUUUCCAGAUAGAAGGAUCAAGAUUACAUGGGUCCUAAUGAGCAAAUAUGUGGAGGGUCACAGAAUGUAUUCUUGAAUAAAGGUUUACACAGUGUUACCACACUCUGCUAGGCUGGAUUCCUGCCAAAAUAUGUUUUGAUAGUCACUCAAGAUUCUAAACUCUUGACUCACUCCCUAGGAUGUGAGCCUUUCAGAGUUCUUAAUAGCACUAUGUAUCUCAAGAUUGCUCCUUAUCAUCCCUUACCUACCCUCUUGUCUCAAAGCCUGGCCUUGUCUUCAUAGUCUCCUCUUUGAAGACAUCCUCUUGUUUUUUUACAAUUUCUUCAAUCAUUUAUUCACUCAACAGUUUCCUGAGCUAGAGAUGGAGUCAUUGUCUUAGCAACUGGGGAUAUAUAUGGGAAACUGAAAUAAAGACACCUGCUCUCUUGUUUAACAUUUGUUCUAGGUGUUCAGUCAGAUAACAGAACAAGUUGGAAAAGACCUCUUUUUCUGUAUUUGUAUACAUAUGUGAUCAAAAUUUUAUUUAGAACUUGCCUUCUGUAUGACUUAUCUGGCAUAAAAAUAGGAUGAGACAUUUCAUUUUUAUUAUUCAGUGUGGUUCUCUCCAGUGUAAGUUUUCUGUUUUGUUGUUCUGUCAAAUAAGGUGGGAGCUAAGGCUAAUGAUUUGCCUGCACGGAUUACAUUGAGGAUCUGCUCUCAUAGGAGUCCUCUGAUGUUGAAUACAAUGAGGACUCCUACUGAAGGGCUUCUUGCCAGUGGGUUCUGUGACUCCUGAAGCCUUCCUAAGACCCAAUUACAUUCUCACGAUCCUGAGUAAGAGAGCUGUGCAUGAAAGAAACCUUUUCACACAGUCAUAGUCCCUUGGCUUUGGAGUUCUCAUAGCCCAUAUGAAUCCUCUCAGACUACACAAGGGAUGAAUGAAAUCUAGAAGAGGAUUUUCUUCUCUUCCUUCCAAAAAACAAUCUUCUUGUAGAUGUUAUUUUUUUCUACUAAAGUUUGCACUGAUUUGAGUAUUGCUACAUUCAUAUUUGUAUGGCUCAUCUCUCCUGCUUCAUUACUUGCCAAGUCAAAAAAGUUAAAUGUCUUGCAGGCUUUCCUAUAAUCACGAUCUUCAAUAUAGUGUCUUCACCCUAUUGCUUAUCAAUGAUUAAAUCUAGAUUAUAUAUCAAGUUUUUUUUUUUUUCAAUUUUUUUUUAAUGUUUAUUUAUUGUUGAGAGACAGAGAGACACAGAGCAUGAGCAUGGGAGGGGCAGAGAGGGGGAGACACAGAAUCCGAAGCUGGCCAUAGGCUCUGAGCUGUUAGCACAGAGCCCAACCUGGGGCUCGAACUCACAAACUGCGAGAUCAUGACCUGAACCAAAGUCAGAUGUUUAACCUACUGAGCCACCCAGGUGCCCAGAUCUCAAGUUUUCUAACCAAACUACACAGAAUGGCAAUACUUCCUUGAAAGGACACUGAGCAGUGGCUAAAGGUUUGAGUGCCAUCAAAUAUCAUCCGUAUUCCUGAUCUUCACAGCAUCUUCCCAAAUCAGUGCCUUCUUAAAAACAAAUGCCCUGGGGCGCCUGGGUGGCUCAACGGGUUGAGCAUCCGACUUCAGCUCAGGUCAUGAUCUGGUGGUUCGUGAGUUCGAGCCCCGCGUUGGGCUCUGUGCUAACAGCUCAGAGUCUGGAGCCUGCUUCAGAUUCUGUGUCUCACUCUCUCUCUGCCCCUCCCCUGCUCAUGCUCCAUCUCUCUCUGUCUCAAAAAUAAAAAAAAAAUUUUUUUUUAAUUUAAAACAAAAAAACAUUAAAAACAAAUGCCCUCUGUCUUAAGCACUUAUUACUAAGUUUCCCUUCUGCUUCCACCAAUGUCUGUGCUGCCAUUUUUGCUAUCAGGGACAGCUGGAUAGCCAUACAAAAUGAGUUGCCUCAGAAAGGCUGAGCUUUCGACUUAAACUCAGUCCCUUGAGUUAGGGAAAGGCACAGCUACACUAGUGAUGGGAGACAGACCACUGCUAGAGAUGGUUGUCUCAUCCAGUGGUAAAUAGAACACGCUAUUCCAAACAUCUAGGAUUCCCAAGUCUUUAUGCACUGCUGGGACCUCCUUCUCGAGUCCAGAGAGGUGCACUCAGCUGGCUUCACAAACCUGUACUUGGAUGUCUCUCAGUCCCUUCUCAUUCAUACUUAUUUAACAGAACCAGUCAAGACAUGUGACAAUUCCACAAACUCUUGAAUCUAGGUGAAAGCUACUAGGGAGUUCCAUGUAAACUGUCUAAAAAAUUAUUUCAACAUAAAAAGUAAAACCAGGGGUGCCUGGGUGGCUCAGUUAAGGUCUGACUUCGGCUCAGGUCAUGAUCUUGCAAUUCGUUGAGUUCAAGCCUCUUAUGGGGCUCUCUGCUGUCAGCAAAGCCUGCUUUGGAUCCUCUGUUCCUCCCUCUCUCUGCCCCUCCCGCUUGUGUGCAUGUGCUCACUCACUCUCUCUCAGAAAUAAACAUUACAAAAGUAAAACCAAAACUUCUAUUUCUACCCUUCAAAAGUUUUUGCCUUUGCCAGAUUUCCUCAUAUUAUUGAUUAAAACCAAAAAUUCAGGAGUAGUAAUUUUUCUCCUUUUUUCUUCUUUUAAAGUUGGAUUUUGAUAUAUAGAAAAAGAACAUAUAUGGUAAAUGCAUACAUUACAAAGAAUACUCACAGGAAAUCCCUGAAGCCUUCACCUACGAGAGAUUCUUGGCAGCUUCCUUUCCUUUGGCCAUUACUCACCUGGCCCCAAUGAAUCCACUAUGAAUGGGGAGAAGCCGAUGCCAGCUUCUCCCCAAACCCUCUGCUACUCUCAGGCCAGGUGACCUCACUUCUUCCUUAGGUAGUACUACCACGGUAACCUGCCUUACUUCCAUCUGUGUCCUAUUAAGUUCUUUUUUCCUAAGCACCUGCAGUGAGCUUGAAAAGCUGUACCACACAUCUGCCUGAUAAAAACCAAACUACCUUCACAGUGAAGGCCCUGUGUGUUCUGCCAAACCUAACCUGCCUGUCAGUAUACCUCAGUUACCUCCUACCAGCCCACUGGGUGACUCCAUGUUCCCUGAAUGUGCCAAGCUUAUUCCAUUUUCAUGGUCACCCCAAAUGCUGUUUCUGUGCUUGGAAGCUCUCUUCACCACCACUCUUAUAGGUGUGUAGAAUUCUUUCACUUUGGGGAUUGGCUUAAAGCUCACCCCUGCAGUGCCCCUCAAAAUACCCCCUCUAGUGUAAUUAUUCAUUGCCCCCACUUUACACUCUUUCCCUUCUCAGUAUUUAACCACUACUCAUCUUUACAGAGUUAUAUCUGGGGAACUUGUUUGUAGAGGCCAUAAUCUAUUAGACUACGAAGUCCACAGUAUCAGGGAUUACUUUAGGUCUUUGGUUUACUACCAAAGUGUUUAGUAUACUAUAUGGAACACAAGAGGAGUUCCACAAGUAUUUGUGAGGUGUAAAAGGGGAGGCAGUGGAGGGAAAACAACAUGUAAAGGACUCAUUGUGACAGAGCAGAGAGGAGUCAGGCACCUGAGGCCUAGUCUGUAAUAAAAUGUCCUUAUAAGCCUCUCUGGACAUGGUCUCUCACUCUGGGUUAUCACCUCAGAAUCUCCUGGCACCCGUCAAGCCAGCUCUCCCUGAGACGUACAGAACCACAGGUGCCCCAAAUCCCUCAUGGCAACUAGAUUCAGGGAACUACUGGAUCAUCCAGAAGUACAAGGCUGGAAGGUCUGCCAACACAGGACACGGGAUUUGAGCUUCAGGGAGGAUGAAACACAGACCUGCCACAAUCAGAGCCACAAGACAGGAAGGGACUUUGGGAGGCUAGAUCACAGGGAACAGUCAGGGGGAAAAGACACCAUGAUGGGUGGAUACAAAGUGCUUGUGUUGCUGGGGACCUUCCAGGUGACAUAGUUUAGUGACCUAUACUAAUGGAUGUUAGAAAGGUUUUCAAUGAAGAGGAUGAAAAGAAUGACUCAGUAUGGAAAAGAAAAACCACUAAUACUGAGCCAUCAAACUGAGUUCAGAAAAAGGGCUCAGAGAUUCAUAGAGAUGGCAGUCUAUGUUGUGGCAAACAGAAGGACAUCACCAAAGAUGGGGAUCAGGUGCAGAUUUCGUAGCUGAAUACUACCAGAAGCAGGUAGUUCCAAUGUCAUUUGUAUUAGAACACAAAACAAAGGGAAGAAGAGAACAUCCAAAGUUUUCUUUACAAAGCUGAUAAAGAUAAUCGGGGCGCCUGGGUGGCUCAGUCGGUUAAGCGGCCGACUUCAGCUCAGGUCAUGAUCUGGUGGUCCGUGAGUUCGAGCCCCACGUUGGGCUCUGUGCUGACAGCUCAGAGCCUGGAGCCUGUUUCAGAUUCUGUGUCUCCCUCUCUCUGACCCUCCCCCGUUCAUGCUCUGUCUCUCUCUGUCUCAAAAAUAAAUAAACGUUAAAAAAAAUUUUUUUUUUAAGAUAAUAAACACAAAAAAGAAAUCCACCCACCUCCUGAACCUAAUUUAUGAAUAUGGAUCUGUCUGUGGAUGCCAGCAGCUCUUACAAGGGCACUUCUACAUUUAUUAUGUCACUGUGUUAACUGUUCAAAGGAGAAAAUCACUAUGAUCACCUUGGCAUGACUAUUAGGGAAAACGGGCUAUUACUGAUUUUCAUUUAUUAGAAAGGGCUAGAUGACUAUUGCUUUGUCCAGAUAAAACUGACUUGAAUCAAAACAGAGUCCAGCAUCAUGCUUGUCAAGACCCAGAAACUUUCCCAUUUAGGUCACUCACUCUUCACACUCUCAACUUCAGUGUUUUGGAAGUACCAGCUGUGACAAAGGUCAUUAUGUAACUGGGCAAGAGUAAAACAAUACUAAUACGAUUGCCUCCUGCUUUAUACUUGCUGGUAAAAUGACUGUACUGAGAAAAUUGAGGCUCUAGUAAGACUGUUAUAACUAAUAAGAGAACUUAACAGCAUGACAGGUUCAUCUGGACCAACUACGCAAGACUGCAGAGGAUUAACCUGAGCAGAUUAACAGCAACCACUACAGUGAAAGCCCAACAGCACUCAGAAGGCCUGACAUAGCACAGUGAAGCAAGAUCCCUUGUUGUACACUUGCGCCAAAACUCGACUAGACCAAUUCUGCAUCAAGGAAUUCUAAAUGCAAUCAUCUAACAGGAUUUUCUUAAUGAACCCCUGACAAACUGAUGUCAAGCACUCAUCUUGCAAACCAGGUGGGUGAGAAUAGUUCAUAGUUUGUUUUGUUUGUUUUUUUGUUUUUUUUUAGAAAUAAUGAGAGGAACUAUCAUUUAUCCAAGUUAUAAAACUACCAUAUGUACAGCAGUAUGUGUGCUCAGACUAAGAUCAACGAAGCAGAAGGGACCAAGACCGAAGCCUAUGCCCAAUAAGUACCAUGGAAAUUUAGUCUGUAAUAAGGACGGUGUUUCCAAUAAGCAGAAGAAUCUAAUCAAAAUUUGUUGAAAGAACAUAUGCUCCAUACCAUAUACACAAAGAAACUCCAGAUAAGUGCAACAAUCAGACAAAAACAAACAAACAAAAAACCCUGAAAUACAAGAAAGUAUUUAUGAAAUCUGCCUAUCUAUGAAUGGGAUAGGAAUAAGAACAGAUCUGAAAGGAAAAAUACCUAAAUUAUAUAACUUCUUUAUGAAAACUAAAUUUAAAGGUAGAAGAUAAAUGGGGGCGCCUGGGUGGCUCAGUCGGUUAGGCAUCCGACUUCAGCUCAGGUCAUGAUCUCACGGUUCAUGAGUUCAAGCCCCACAUUGAUCUCCGUGCUGACAGCUCAGAGCCUGGAACCUGCUUUGGAUUCUGUGUCUGCCUCUCUCUCUGUCCCUCCUCCGCUUGUGCUCUGUC